Molecule: ribosomal RNA, 460 nt
Filed under: uncultured bacterium
Lineage: Bacteria
Description: partial 16S ribosomal RNA
Rfam family: Bacterial small subunit ribosomal RNA
Source: RNAcentral
CCUACGGGUGGCAGCAGUGAGGAAUAUUGGUCAAUGGACGAGAGUCUGAACCAGCCAAGUAGCGUGAAGGAUGACUGCCCUAUGGGUUGUAAACUUCUUUUAUAUGGGAAUAAAACGUUCCACGUGUGAGAUUUUGUAUGUACCAUAUGAAUAAGGAUCGGCUAACUCCGUGCCAGCAGCCGCGGUAAUACGGAGGAUCCGAGCGUUAUCCGGAUUUAUUGGGUUUAAAGGGAGCGUAGGUGGAUUGUUAAGUCAGUUGUGAAAGUUUGCGGCUCAACCGUAAAAUUGCAGUUGAAACUGGCAGUCUUGAGUACAGUAGAGGUGGGCGGAAUUCGUGGUGUAGCGGUGAAAUGCUUAGAUAUCACGAAGAACUCCGAUUGCGAAGGCAGUUCACUGGACUGCAACUGACACUGAGGCUCGAAAGUGUGGGUAUCAAACAGGAUUAGAUACCCCAGUAGUC